UCCUAGUGACGGGCAGACUCCCGCUAGU
RNAcentral lists this small RNA (28 nucleotides) under Bombyx mori (domestic silkworm). RNAcentral's name for it is "ovarian small RNA-27727". Lineage: Eukaryota; Metazoa; Arthropoda; Insecta; Lepidoptera; Bombycidae. The record is from RNAcentral.